RNAcentral lists this ribosomal RNA (570 nucleotides) under uncultured bacterium. Its description in RNAcentral is "partial 16S ribosomal RNA". It matches the Rfam family "Bacterial small subunit ribosomal RNA", at positions 355 to 914 of the family's 1533-position model. The record is from RNAcentral.
UGGGGAAUAUUGCACAAUGGGCGCAAGCCUGAUGCAGCCAUGCCGCGUGUGUGAAGAAGGCCUUCGGGUUGUAAAGCACUUUCAGCGAGGAGGAAGGUGGUGAACUUAAUACGUUCAUCAAUUGACGUUACUCGCAGAAGAAGCACCGGCUAACUCCGUGCCAGCAGCCGCGGUAAUACGGAGGGUGCAAGCGUUAAUCGGAAUUACUGGGCGUAAAGCGCACGCAGGCGGUUUGUUAAGUCAGAUGUGAAAUCCCCGGGCUCAACCUGGGAACUGCAUUUGAAACUGGCAAGCUAGAGUCUCGUAGAGGGGGGUAGAAUUCCAGGUGUAGCGGUGAAAUGCGUAGAGAUCUGGAGGAAUACCGGUGGCGAAGGCGGCCCCCUGGACGAAGACUGACGCUCAGGUGCGAAAGCGUGGGGCAGCAAACAGGAUUAGAUACCCUGGUAGUCCAGCGCUGUAAACGAUGUCGAUUUGGAGGUUGUGCCCUUGAGGCGUGGCUUCCGGAGCUAACGCGUUAAAUCGACCGCCUGGGGGAGUACGGCCGCAAGGUUAAAACUCAAAUGAAUUGAC